UACGGUAGGGGGCAAGCGUUAUCCGGAUUUACUGGGUGUAAAGGGAGCGCAGACGGCAGUGCAAGUCUGAUGUGAAAGCCCGGGGCUCAACCCCGAAACUGCAUUGGAAACUGUACAGCUUGAGUGUCGGAGAGGUAAGCGGAAUUCCUAGUGUAGCGGUGAAAUGCGUAGAUAUUAGGAGGAACACCGGUGGCGAAGGCGGCUUACUGGACGAUGACUGACGUUGAGGCUCGAAAGCGUGGGGAGCAAACAGGAUUAGAUACCCUGGUAGU
This 272-nucleotide ribosomal RNA is filed under the name uncultured prokaryote. RNAcentral's name for it is "partial 16S ribosomal RNA". It matches the Rfam family "Bacterial small subunit ribosomal RNA", at positions 524 to 794 of the family's 1533-position model. The record is from RNAcentral.